GACGUAGGGGGCGAGCGUUGUCCGGAUUUAUUGGGCGUAAAGAGCUCGUAGGCGGCUUGUUACGUCGACUGUGAAAACCCGUGGCUCAACCAUGUGGUCUGCAGUCGAUACGGGCAGGCUAGAAUUCGGUAGGGGAGACUGGAAUUCCUGGUGUAGCGGUGAAAUGCGCAGAUAUCAGGAGGAACACCGGUGGCGAAGGCGGGUCUCUGGGCCGAUAUUGACGCUGAGGAGCGAAAGCGUGGGGAGCGAACAGG
RNAcentral lists this ribosomal RNA (254 nucleotides) under uncultured bacterium. RNAcentral's name for it is "partial 16S ribosomal RNA". It matches the Rfam family "Bacterial small subunit ribosomal RNA", at positions 524 to 776 of the family's 1533-position model. The record is from RNAcentral.